Molecule: unclassified non-coding RNA, 225 nt
Filed under: Melitaea cinxia (Glanville fritillary)
Lineage: Eukaryota; Metazoa; Arthropoda; Insecta; Lepidoptera; Nymphalidae
Description: misc RNA ENSMCXG00005003567.1
Source: RNAcentral
UAUUAUGUAUGUUCGGGGAUAACUUCUUCGUUUAUGAACCGAUUUUGAUAAUUCUUUUUUUGCUAGAAAGGAGAUAUUCAUAGUUUGGUACCAUGAUAAGGAAACCAGGAUCUGAUGAUGGGAUCCCAGAGAAAUCGAGGGAAACUUUCAAAAAUCGUAAGGGUGACUAGUAAAUUUAAUCAUGUUUUUAUUAAGUACUAUAAAGCACUACUAUUUAAUAAAGGU